GGAGAAGGUGUUAGGCAUUCUCGAGUUCCGUGGUUCUAACACGGUCGCUCUACUGUCAUAUUUGGCUCAAUUAUCUGAUUUUUUACAAUUACGAACUUAGCGCAAAUUGAGACCAUUUACUGCUUUUUGUUGUUAUUAUUAUUGUUAUUAUUUUACAGAGAAUUGUGACAUUGUGACAACAUAUCUCGGACCAUGUCUCAGCCAGUGUACCCGUAGUUGUCGACACAUUUUGACUUUGUUGAGAUUUGGAUUUGGGUAGCAUAAAUGCACACCCGAGUUUAGGGAGGUAAAAUUAUUAAAUACGCGCCUAAAGAUACUAACGCGUUAUUAUUUUGAGAAAGCCGUGGAAUUUGCUAAAUGGCAUGUCCCGCAAUCUAAGUAUUUUUACUAAAUAUGUGUACGAGGGCCCCAUAAUUUACAACUAUUUUGGCGAGGCACACCUUAUUCAUUUUUUAGGAUAUCCUAAAGUGACUAAGAUUUUUCUAUUUUUAUUUGUCUAUUAGAAAAGGUCCUACUUAGUUAGAAUUGUUUCAGAACUAUUAUAAUUGGGCCUUGAACAUAACCCGUAUUAAAAUCAAAGCCCAAGUAUUCAUUCGGGCAGGGUAUUCCUUAGCCUGGGUCCAGGUCAAAAUGAAUGUAGUAUUAAAAUGAGACCUGGGCCAUUUUGUCCAAAAACCGAGGCCCAACUUGCCCAAAACAUGCAAUCCGUUUUAAUUCGUCCAAUCGGGUCAUAAAUUCAAAUCAAAUGCUCAAACAACUACUUAUUGAAAUUUUCUCGAGUCACUUUAAAUGUAUUUAGCAAUUUGAAAUAAGAAAAAAACCAAUGUGCAUCUAUUCAAAGUGAUUGAUUGAAUUCUGCUUUUGGCCCAGUUCAUAUUACCUAUGGAGCUACUGGUAGACACCAUUUACUUAAGCUAUUGCCAUCUUAACCCAAAAAAAUAUUGGCGUAACUUUAUUCAAUUUACACAGUGGUUAUUAUUACCCCAAUGAGUCUGUGAGUUAAUAAAGAAAUAACUUAAUACCUAAGCAAAUUGGCACUUAAUAACACACGUUUGAAAUUUACUCUAAGUUGAGAUGUUAUCACAGAACUCAUGAAGUAAAAUAAAAACUUGAGUAAACUCACCAUAUCGAUUAGCAUUAUUCUUAAAGUAAUCCUAUUACUCCAAACCUAAACGAUUACUACAUGUCCCUUCCUAAUGUUAACAGCCUAUUAACUCUAGUCUCGAUUAGCACUAUUCCUAAAGUAAUCCAAUUACUCCAAACCUCAACGACUAAUACAUGUCCCUUCCUAAUGUUAACAGCCUAUUAACUCUAAUGUUACAAAUUUUACUAAAGUACACACACUACUACACAUUGGAAAUAGAUACAUUCCAAAUUACUUUGAGAUAGUCUUAAUUACAGUCCACAAUCUCAUAUAAAUCAAACCAGUCCAAACAAGUGAGCUAACUACAAUGGAAUACGAAUAAUUGAGUUAUACAUUUAACAAUUAACAAUAAUUCCAAACUCAAACUAACAACAGUCAUUCUUCAUUCAUUGGGCUCAAGAUGAUUUAUACACGUGAAUCAACCUCCGGAUAAAGGGACAAUGAAAAGCGUACCUGGAAUUCAAAUUGAAAUAGAGAAAGGAAUGGUCAGCAGCGGCAAUACAGCAGCAGUCACAACAGCAAUGCAAUAACAACGAUCAAUAGUGAUACCACAGCAAGAGACAACCAACAACUAUUUCAGCUUGAAAGACACCAACAAAUAGACCCAAGAGAUGACUGAACCAACCAAAUAUAGCUCAAAAUGACCCACACAAUUCGAACACAUCCAACUGAACAAUUGAUCUUAGAAGAAACUCCAGCAACUCAAAACUAGGCUAGAAGAUCAAAACCAACUACUGAAACUCGAAAUUAAAAUAGGAAACUGAAUGGAACAAUAUUUUUUUUGAAUCUUUGUAGCUUUUAUAUGUUCUCCUGGAAAGUCUAAUGUUCUUCCUCUCAAAAUCAAUCUCGCUGCUCUUUGAAGCUCUCUCAAAACUGACUCUUGAAGUCUAUCUUUUUGAAACUAACCUCAACUCUUUUUUCUGUCCUCCCUUGCUUAACAGAUUGUUCCCCCUUCUAGUGUCAAAAUGACUCCUAUAUAUCUAAAACCAAGACUCUCUUCCCUCCCCCUUUAAUUAUUAUUACUACCCAUUUAUUAUUAUCCUACUAUUUCUAAUUUCCAAUCAGCAAAAGCAGUCAGACGUGGACCCCACAAUCCACUUUCUUUUUAGUUUAAUCAUUAUGCUCACAACAUAUGCUCUUCUAUGUGUAUUCUUUACACUUUUUAUCAUUAAACUACUAUUCCCAAUUCCAGUUAAGUAAAAGUGGUCAAACACUAUCAUUUUCAGCGCCCCCCACUAAUUAAUUCAAAUUAAAGCACAUUAGGGCCCUACUGGACAUAAUACUCAGUCAAACCAUGUUUUAAUUUUGAACUUCCUAAAUUACCUCCUACUGAUUGCUAUUGUUCUGAUUCCAAACAUCAGCAAGCAGAACCAAACUUAGAACUAUCUACUACUAAAAUUUAAUUACCAGUUGUAACCAAUCUUUAAUACUAAUCUGAACAAAAUCCAAUAACUGAAACUACACAAAUUAGAUCAAAUAGCAGAGUGAUUAAACUAUUAAGGUUGUGAUUGACAUACAUAUAUUACACUAAAUAAAGUGAUUGGAAUCAUGGAAAUAUACUGAAUUCAGAGAUAACACGAUUGGUAAUUGAGAGAAAAGGUUCAAAUGAUAGCACAUAGGGCAAUUUGAAUCACCAGAAACACAAACAAUCACAAUGCUAUGCCAAAACGUAUUGACUGACCAUUUCGAAUAAUCAGGACAAAGCAGAAACAAAAACUAGAGUGAACAUAAUUACACAAUGGCGCGAGUGAUUUCUACUCUAUCCAAUUGACUGUACUAUCUUAUUAACAUAGUGAUGAAAAUAGAACUGGAUUCUUAUGCAAGAACAAAUGAACUACAAAGAACAAGGGAACUAAUAUCACAUAAAUUAAUUCGAAAUAAUAAUCAAUGUUAUCAGAACUACUAAACUACAACCAAGACGGAGUAAACGAUGAGAUUAUUUACACCAUAUGUCGCUUGACAGAAGAAAUGGACCAAAUAAAUAGUCUGAUGAGAAGGAGAAGAGUACUGGACAAAACUGACAAGAAAUAACUCAAACGGAGACACAAUUUAAACAGAAAUGAAAACUUAUGGAGAAGAAAAAGAAGAAGUUAAGAAGGACUCACUAUUCUUGUCUCGGAUUCCACCAAUAUGCCCUUUCGAACUUGAGUUCUAGUUAAUAUUAUACGUCUAUUUCAUGAGAAAUCGGCAUAUAACACUAACUAGGACCCAAUCGACCUUGAAAGCUUGGACACAAUCUCAGACCGUCGAACCCUAAAUCCGUCAUUCGACGGGUUUUACACACAUUCGAGCCAAUAUGGUUAGGGAUUAAGGACGAGGGGGUAAAAGGGAGUAAUUGGUAUAAAUUUGGGGUGGUUUGGCAUAGAUUUGGUUUUGGCUCGAAUCUUCAACUGAAGAUUCGAGAAGAUGCAGCUGGAUUCGAGCCAAGGGAAUAGGGGAUUUGGAUUCAGGGUGGGAAGGGGGUUAUAUGGUGAUAAGUUUGUGGCUGGUGGACCUCAGGCCACCAGGUUUCAGGCGGAAGUGCAGGGUGGCGGCUAGGGUUUGGGUAAGGGGAUCGUCUCUGAUAGAGACGAUGAUGAACAGGGAAGAGAGGUGGGUGUUUGGAUUGGGGGGCUGGGUGUUGGCUUUAGGUUAUAUAGUAUGGGGGAAAGGAUCUAAGC
Molecule: long non-coding RNA, 3804 nt
Filed under: Nicotiana benthamiana
Lineage: Eukaryota; Viridiplantae; Streptophyta; Magnoliopsida; Solanales; Solanaceae
Description: long non-coding RNA (NBEN_LNC011301)
Source: RNAcentral